UACGUAGGCGGUCUAACAAGUCAGGGGUGAAAUCCACCGGCUCAACCGGUGAACUGCCUUUGAAACUAUUAGACUUGAGGGUAAGAGAAGAAAGCGGAAUUCCUAGUGUAGUGGUGAAAUACGUAGAUAUUAGGAAGAAUACCGAUGGCGAAAGCAGCUUUCUAGCUUAUUCCUGACGCUGAGGUACGAAAGCUAGGGUAUCAAACG
RNAcentral lists this ribosomal RNA (207 nucleotides) under uncultured bacterium. RNAcentral describes it as "partial 16S ribosomal RNA". It matches the Rfam family "Bacterial small subunit ribosomal RNA", at positions 568 to 774 of the family's 1533-position model. The record is from RNAcentral.